UACGUAGGUGGCAAGCGUUGUCCGGAAUUAUUGGGCGUAAAGCGCACGCAGGCGGUCCUUUAAGUCUGAUGUGAAAGCCCACGGCUCAACCGUGGAAGGUCAUUGGAAACUGGAGGACUUGAGUACAGAAGAGGAAAGCGGAAUUCCACGUGUAGCGGUGAAAUGCGUAGAGAUGUGGAGGAACACCAGUGGCGAAGGCGGCUUUCUGGUCUGUAACUGACGCUGAGGCGCGAAAGCGUGGGGAGCAAACAGG
RNAcentral lists this ribosomal RNA (253 nucleotides) under uncultured bacterium. Its description in RNAcentral is "partial 16S ribosomal RNA". It matches the Rfam family "Bacterial small subunit ribosomal RNA", at positions 524 to 776 of the family's 1533-position model. The record is from RNAcentral.